GACUUUAGUUAAAUUUAUAACAAGGGCUUGUCGAGUCUUAAUUACUCAAUUAGUAAGUCUUA
Molecule: transfer RNA, 62 nt
Filed under: Erpobdella octoculata
Lineage: Eukaryota; Metazoa; Annelida; Clitellata; Hirudinida; Erpobdellidae
Description: tRNA-Asp
Source: RNAcentral